ACUCUUCCCCAUUUUGCUCUUAUUCUUGCAUGAAAUAUGGAGCUUCUGGCCUUUAGGAGGACUUUCAAAGGACCAUGAAAAGCUCUCAUCGAACUCUGGAUUAGGACCAGUUGAAACAACCUUCGUUUGGCGAGGUGGAGUAUUUCCAAGGGUAAGCUUGCAAAAAACGCUUGGAUUUCCAACCGAUUGCCUCAUGUUGUUCCCUCGUUUUAUUAUUACCACCAGAGUACCAGGCAAACAUUGCAGUAAAAAUUCUGACUUCUCCUGAAACCGAGGGGGUCCAGAUUGUAUCAGAUACUGCAACAAUGGAAUGGCAUCUGCAGCAGCAAUUGAUUGUGCCCGAGAAACUUCAGCAGGACAUGCUGACCAAGCUUGGCGGAGAAAAAAAAGAGCAUCCAAAGCAGCUUCUUGAGUUGCCUCGGAACCGGUCUUCAGGGAUGUCACUAAAUGUGGAAUACUCAGGGUUGCAGGUUCAGUAGCCCUUAGACGGGGGAAGUUUCCAAAUAGUGCAUUCAGAGCCUUGAGGUACUCCUCAUUUACAGUGCCCGAGGCCCAUAAAUCUUUCUCAAUUGCAGCAGUGAUAGCCCUGACAGUUUCACUUGAAGCAUACUCUUGAAUGGUGUUAUUGGAAAAGAGAAGCUUGACAAACAUUGCUGCCUGUACUGAUGUAUCUGUCUCACUUGAACCAAUCAGAUCUAACACAACCUGGACACCACCAGCUUCCGCAACUGCUCUCUUAUUUGAUCUGCUAUACAUAACGAGGUUCUGUAAGGCACAUAUAGCGAUCACUUUCAUUUCUUCAGUAGGUUGAUCUUCAAGCAGAUUCACCAAUGCCCGGCAAGCUGAAACAGCAUCACUGCUUCGAGCAAGAGUUUCAUUCUGGAAUAGGUCGCCAAGAGCAAGAGUUGCCAGUAAUCUUGCUUGCUGCCCUUGUGUCUGCGGAUCCAAAAGAUACUGUGAUAAGGGCACAAUUGCUGACUUGGUGGCUUUUGUUUCUCUAAUCUUCACAUUGUUCAGCAAAACCUCAAGGAGUCUCGCAGCAGUUUCCUCACAAAGGUGGCAUCUGAGAAGUUCUAAGAGAGACUCGAUCGCCCCACUUUCAGCCAUAGCUCCAGCACUGGUGGAGUCAUCAGUCUCCAACACAAGAAGAGCAUUUAAUGCACCAAGAACUGUGCCUUCAGAGCCAGAGCGAAGCAAUCUUACCAACACUACAACAGGUACUUCCAGAAAAAAUUCAGAGCUAAAUUGUAGAAUGCUGGAUAAUACUACAGCAGCUGACUCCCACAAGGCAUGAGGGAGUGAAGGGUCAGCAUUCAUUAUUACUUUAGAAAGUUCAUUGACGCCGCCUUCUUUUGCAAUUUCAUUUGGCCAAGUAAGUGCAAUACAGACUAAGGCCUUCACAGCUCUCUGCUGCAAAAUGGGUAUACCAGAACCAAGGACCCGUACAAGGGGACCAAUCACUUGCUGGAUAACUGGGUCCUUCUGCAGGUGCUCUUCCAAAAGCAGGUGAGACAGAAGCUCAGCAGCCAGUUGUUGCACGGCAGAAGCGGGAGAGUCAAGUAAGGGAAUAAGAGGUUCAAUAGCUUGGUGUGAUGUCAAGGUAUAAUCAGAUCGGCACUGCGGAUGCUCUAGGAUAUUCACAAGGACCUGAAGCGUGCUGUGCUGCCCAUCAGGUCCAAACUCUGGUCUCAUCAGCAAUACAAAAAGUGGCUCUACCACCUUUGCAGCAGAUGGUCCCUUAGCAAUGGUAGCAUUAUUUGUCAGUAUUCUGAGCAAUUCAGCAAAUGCAGCACAAAGGAAAUCUGGUGCUUCAUGCAGAAUGUCAAGCACACUCUCAAUAACCCCAGCCUUGACCAUUUCCAUCUUACAGGAAGGCCUGUCCUUCCCCAACUUCACAAGAGCUCUAGAAAUAGCUUCAUGAAGUAAAUAAUUUCGUCCAUAAAGAAGGCCAACAAGGGGAAUGACUGCACCAUGUGCUGCAACUAGUUCAGCCAGCUGUUCGUCGUCCACUAGUUUAUCUAAUGCACGAA
RNAcentral lists this unclassified non-coding RNA (2030 nucleotides) under Hevea brasiliensis (rubber tree). Lineage: Eukaryota; Viridiplantae; Streptophyta; Magnoliopsida; Malpighiales; Euphorbiaceae. The record is from RNAcentral.